AUGACUCCUGCAAAAAGGGUAGCCAGAAAAAGGGGGGUCAUUCUGCCAUCAAUGAGGCAGUGACCUGAGGAUACACCAUCAACAUUCACAGGUGCAUCCAUGGAGUGGGCUUCAAGAAGAAUACCCCUCAGGCACUCAAGAGAGAUCCAGAAAUCUGCCAUGAUGGAGAUGGGGACUCCAGAUGUACGCACUAAUACUAGGCUCAACAAAUGUCUGGGUGAAAGGAAGGGCCGUACCACAUCCAUGUUUAUCGUGCAGAAAACAUAAUGAGGGUGAAGGUUCAGCAAACAAACUCUAUACUUUGGUUUAACUAUGUACCUGUGACCACUUUCAAACAUCUAUAGACAGUCAAUGUGGGUGAGAGCC
RNAcentral lists this long non-coding RNA (366 nucleotides) under Homo sapiens (human). RNAcentral's name for it is "non-protein coding lnc-APOD-2:1". The record is from RNAcentral. Lineage: Eukaryota; Metazoa; Chordata; Mammalia; Primates; Hominidae.